This 212-nucleotide ribosomal RNA is filed under the name uncultured bacterium. RNAcentral's name for it is "partial 16S ribosomal RNA". It matches the Rfam family "Bacterial small subunit ribosomal RNA", at positions 1289 to 1500 of the family's 1533-position model. The record is from RNAcentral.
CAGUUCGGAUUGCAGUCUGCAACUCGAGUGCAUGAAGCUGGAAUCGCUAGUAAUCGCGGAUCAGAAUGCCGCGGUGAAUACGUUCCCGGGUCUUGUACACACCGCCCGUCACACCAUGGGAGUCGGGAAUGCCCGAAGCCGGUGGCCCGAUCGAGAGAAGGGAGCCGUCGAAGGCAGGCCGGAUGACUGGGGUGAAGUCGUAACAAGGUACC